ACGGGGAUAACAUUUGAAAUAUAGAUAAAAAUAUCCUAUAAAAAUUAUAAAAUUGUUAAAUGCUGACAUUAUCAGUUAGUAACAAUACAGUUACAGUAUGAUAUGGCUUCUGUCUGCCAUAUUGUAUAAGAUCACAGCCUGGGAAGCUGGGUUUCCUGAGUUGCAGCCUCAACACUAUAGCCUCUAAGCCACCUGACUUUAAUCAACUUCUGGGCUUUGAGUAACUGUAACUUCCCCUUUUUGGUAUAAUUAUAGAUUGAAGCUGCAUUUCAUAGAGCUAUUGUUAUACCAUGUCUAACAUGGAUGCAACAGUUUUAAAGAAUAAAAUCUUUUACUCCAAGGGCAUAGAAAGAAGGCCCAUGUAUAGAUCAAACUUGCCAAUAAUAAUAAGCAAAAAUUUGCCCCAGUUUUUAGAAGGACAUUAUCAAGGUCUAGUGACUAUUAGCAGAGGGCUGUGCAGAAAGACUGGGAUCUAAGAGGCCACUGAACGACUGUGUAGGGUGAGGCUGAGAGAGACUGAAAAGCUGCUGUGUCCAACAAUAUAGUUCUCUAAACUAUCAAUAGGAGCAAUCUAGGUAACCUGAAAAAGGAAAACCCUUUCCUAUAACUGAGUCAAAUGCUAAGAGUUGCCACUUUGCAGUCUGAGCAACAUGGGCUAGCACCUAUGCGAUUGCAGCUGAAUUGCUUACAAGCAUAUGACCUGAGUUCAAAACCCAGAAAUAAAAAAAAAAAAA
RNAcentral lists this long non-coding RNA (734 nucleotides) under Rattus norvegicus (Norway rat). RNAcentral describes it as "long non-coding RNA NONRATT024991". Lineage: Eukaryota; Metazoa; Chordata; Mammalia; Rodentia; Muridae. The record is from RNAcentral.